This 124-nucleotide non-coding RNA is filed under the name Burkholderiales bacterium. Its description in RNAcentral is "Glycine sequence". It matches the Rfam family "Glycine riboswitch aptamer". Rfam says of the family: This family represents the bacterial glycine riboswitch. Glycine riboswitches usually consist of two metabolite-binding aptamers domains with similar structures in tandem. The record is from RNAcentral. Lineage: Bacteria; Pseudomonadati; Pseudomonadota; Betaproteobacteria; Burkholderiales.
GCGUUCCUCGUCUGGAGAGAGGCGGGCCAUUCCCCCGGGAUGGCGCCCGUCCACCGAAGGGGCAAGCAGCCACGGCACCACCGGGGCUGUCAAUCUCUCAGGUAAAGCGGACAGCGAGGGCAUC